ACCUUCUUGUAUAAGCACUGUGCUAAAAUUAUAGAAACUAGGACUGUGUCUUGGUUUUUGUAAUAAUGCUAGCAGAGUACACACAAGAAGAAGAAAAACUGCACUAGAU
RNAcentral lists this small nucleolar RNA (109 nucleotides) under Tupaia belangeri (northern tree shrew). Its description in RNAcentral is "Small nucleolar RNA SNORA81 (ENSTBEG00000020544.1)". It matches the Rfam family "Small nucleolar RNA SNORA81", at positions 1 to 109 of the family's 179-position model. The record is from RNAcentral. Lineage: Eukaryota; Metazoa; Chordata; Mammalia; Scandentia; Tupaiidae.